RNAcentral lists this long non-coding RNA (6279 nucleotides) under Olea europaea (common olive). RNAcentral's name for it is "long non-coding RNA (OEUR_LNC002940)". Lineage: Eukaryota; Viridiplantae; Streptophyta; Magnoliopsida; Lamiales; Oleaceae. The record is from RNAcentral.
GCCAUAGUACAUAUUAAAAGUGCAUAGUCUUUCAAGAUAAUUAAAACAAGAGAAGUACAUUCAUAUUAGAAAAUGGGAAUUUAUGCAAUGAAAUUAUCAGUACGUAUGGAUGACUAAGAGUCUUAUCCUGCAUUAGGAAAGCUGAAGGAGGUAAAACCAAUGACAUAUCGAAUUUAAAUUGCUUGCAUAGAUUUCAAUAAUAAUGAACAUGAAGUGAAGACAAUAAAAGUACCUACCUGGAAAACAUUAUCAUUUUGCCCUUAUUCACUUCUAGUCAGUCUCUCCAUCAUAAUUAAGCCAUAGGAUCUGUUUUCUUUGGAGUUUCUGUUUCCUUUGCAACAAAUAUAGCAAUAACUUGAACAAAUAAAACUAAAAAUUCAUAUUGAAAAAUUUAAAACUCACACGUACGACAUACAUAGAUGCAUAUAGACAUAUGUACCUGGCAGAUGUGGAGUAAGGAAACGUUGACGGAAUUGCAUACUACAGCAUUGAUCCAGAAGGAUGAGCCAAUGCUAAGAUUGAUGCAUCCUAAGACUGACUUUUGUCAACUAAAUCUUUACCAUGCUUGCAGCCUUCUCUUAGCAAUGCUUUCUUUUGUAAUCACAAUCAUUUACAUAUAGCAUUAUACAUCUGUGAGAUGUAUAAUUUUUGAAUUAACUCCACAAAACAGUAUUUCCUAAAAACAGUAUUUCCUAAAAUUAGAAACAGUAGAUAAUAUAUGCCAAUAAUUAGUUCAUAUGAAAAUUAAAGAAUUUUGAACGAAGGCAUUUCAAGAUUACAAGAACUUUAACUACCUUCAUUAUCUCCUAAGAAAAGUAAGUACUUGGGUAAGAAUCAACAACAAUUUUGUAUGCACGAUUUGCAUGGUAGUAGGAACUAACACUCUCACAAGAUUACCAGUGGCAAAAUCAUUUGUAAAAUUGACAAUGUUAACUCUGUUGGAAACGUAAUUUGCAAUUAUUAUCUAGAUUCAUGAAUUAUAGUUAUACAUGCAUUUGUCCAUUAAUGUACUAGAGGAGGAGAAACGUAUCUAUUCAAUGUUGGUUCAUGAGUGAGGCUAGAUACAUGUUAAAUCUUAUCUAUAAAUACCCAUGUAACUCAAGCCAUUAAAAGUAUCGAAGUCACCAAAAUUUACAGUAUAAUAUCUUCUUUUCUACAAUCAUAAAAAAGUGCAGCAGCACUAUAUUACGUAUAAUUUCGAGCAUUCGAUAUUCCUUCUUUUUCAUUCGGUUUUUAAUCAUUUCCCAACAAAUUUUUUGGUAUCAGAGUUUAGUUCUCUAUACGUAUCUCAAAUUUUAUUUCCUCUCUCCAAAGCAUGGCAGCAAAUCAUGUUUCUACAUCCAUGUUUUCCUAUACUCCUAACCAAGUUCCCAUAUUUGAAGGAGAGCAUUUUGAUUAUUGGAGUAGUCAAAUGGAGACACUCUUCAUUUCGCAAGAUUUGUGGGAAGUUGUUGAAGAUGGAUUUUCGGAACCUGAUGAUAAUGAAGAAGAAGAAGAAGAAGAAGAAGAAGAAUGGACGGAGGCUCAACAAAAAGAUCACAAGAAAAAUUUACGGAGAGAUGCAAGUGCUCUUAGAUUUAUACAAUAAGGAUUAAGCAAGACCAUAUAUCCUCGAAUUCACGGUGUCAAAAGAGCCAAGCAAGCUUGGAAUAUCUUAAAUGAGGGAUUUCAUGGCAAUGACAAGGUGACAUCUCUAAAGCUUCAAUCUCUUUGGAAGGAGUUCGACAAUUUAUCAAAAAAAGAUAAUGAAGUUAUGCAAUUCUAUCUAACUCGAGUCUCCGAAAUAGUAAAUCAAAUCAAAAGCCUUGGCGACACAAUUGAAGAAAAAAAAGUUGUUCAAAAGGUCCUUCGAAGCCUUCCCGCGAAAUAUGAUUAUAUUGUCGCCGCUAUUGAAGAAUCAAAAGAUUUGUCUAAAUAUACUUUUAACGGUUUGAUGAGUUCCCUGCAAGUACAUGAAGAAAGAAUUGGCAGGUUCUCAAAUCAGCCACUUGAGUUACAUGGGUAUUUAUAGAUAAGAUUUAACAUGUAUCUAGCCUAACUCAUGAACCAACAUUGAAUAAAUACGUUUCUCCUCCUCUAGUACAUUAAUGGACAAAUGCAUAUAUAAUUAUAAUUCAUGAAUCUAGAUAAUAAUUGCAAAUUACGUUUCCAACAUCCUCUCUUAAUUUGCAAUUUUGAGGAUGAACUCGGUCAUGUUAGACCACCUCAAAGUCCAAAUCCUCGCCCACCAAGAUCGUCGGUUCGAGAUGAAAGUUCAAGUUCCGAUUCACCGAUUAAAAAGACUCGAUCCUUGAGAGAAAUUCUUGAGACAUCUGAAUUUGCUCUCUUUACCUGUGAACCUCAAAGUUUUGAAGUCGCAGUGAAGGAAGAAACAUGGAGAAAAGCUAUGCAAGAGGAGAUUGCCAUGAUAGAAAAAAAUAAAACUUGGGGAUUAGUGGAUAUGCCGAAACACAAAGAUGUUAUAGGACUGAAAUGGAUUUUCAAAACAAAGUAUAAUGAAGAUGGAAGCAUACAAAAACACAAGGCUAGGCUUGUAGCGAAGGGAUAUUCUCAACAACCGGGAAUUGAUUUCAAUGAGACGUUCUCACCGGUUGUUAGAAUGGAAACUAUCAGGGUUGUUCUUACUCUUGCAGCGCAGUUGGAGCUUCAGGUAUUCCAACUUGAUGUCAAAUCAGCUUUCCUUAAUGGAGAGCUUGAAGAAGAAGUUUAUGUACAACAACCUGAAGGAUUUGGAGUGAAAGGGAAAGAAGAUAAAGUGUAUCGCCUCAAGAAAGCACUUUACGGACUGAAGCAAGCUCCAAGAACUUGGAAUAGCAAGAUUGAUGGCUAUUUUCUCAAGAAUGGAUUUCAUCGAAGUCCUAAUGAGCCCUCUCUCUAUGUGAAGAAGCAAGAUCAUGAUUUCUUGAUUGUGUGCAUCUACGUAGAUGAUCUUAUCUACACUGGCACCAAUAUAAGGUUAGUCGAGGAUUUCAAGCGAAAAAUGAUGAAUGAAUUUGAGAUGACUGAUUUAGGAGUCAUGAAGUAUUUUCUUGGAAUACAAGUGAAGUAGUCCAAAGGAGAAAUCUUUAUUUCUCAAGAGAAAUACACAGAAGAUCUUCUGAAGAAAUUUUAUAUGGAGAAUUGCAAAUCAAUUUCAACUCCUAUGGCAGCGAAUGAUAAGUUGAGAAAAGAUGGCGGAGCAAAAAAAUAGAUGCAAAACUGUUUAAGAGUCUUGUUGGUUCACUGAUUUAUCUCACAAACACAAGGCCGGAUAUCGUUCAAGCCGUGAGCAUGAUCUCAAGGUUCAUGAAUGAACCAAGUCAACUUCAUUUUGCAGCAGCUAAAAGAGUUGUGAGAUACUUGCAAGGAAUAAAGAAAAUAGGCAUCAAAUAUGUAAAAGAAAAUGAGAGCAAGUUGAUUGGAUAUAGCGACAGUGAUUGGGGAGGUUCGUUGGAUGAUAGGAAAAGCACUUCAAGUUAAUUAUUUUGUCUCGGAACUAAUGUUGUUUCAUGGAGUUCAAAGAAGCAAAAAACAGUAGCGUUAUCAUCCGCGGAAGCUGAGUAUAUUGCUGUUACAGAUACAACUUGCGAAGCUAUUUGGUUGAGACGAUUACUAGCAGAUUUGAAACAAGUUCAAAAACAGCUCACGGUAAUUUAUUGUGACAAUAUGUCUACGAUAGCCAUGACAAAAAAUCUGGUGUUUCAUUCAAGAACAAAACACAUUGAGUUGCGACAUCAUUUCAUCCGAGAUAUGGUGAGUAAUUGUGAAAUCAGCUUGGAAUUCAUUGGAACGAAUGAGCAACCCGCAGACUUUCUAACCAAGGCGAUCUAUGUCGAGAAAUUUCAAAAAGCAAGAGACAUUCUCAAAAUUGCAAAUUAAGAGGGGGUGUUGGAAACAUAAUUUGCAAUUAUUAUCUAGAUUCAUGAAUUAUAAUUAUACAUACAUUUGUCCAUUAAUGUACUAGAGGAGGAGAAACGUAUCUAUUCAAUGUUGGUUCAUGAGUUAGGCUAGAUACAUGUUAAAUCUUAUCUAUAAAUACCCAUGUAACUCAAGCCAUUAAAAGUAUCGAAGUCACAAAAAUUUACAAUAUAAUAUCUUCUCUUCUACAAUCAUAAAAAAGUGCAGCAGCACUAUAUUACGUAUAAUUUCGAGCAUUCGAUAUUCCUUCUUUUUCAUUCGGUUUUUAAUCAAUCCCCAACAAACUCCAUAUUCAAUUUGAAAGACUGAGUUAUAGCACUUAUUUGUCAUAGUGCCAUCAAGACAAAUCAUAAUAUUUUGAACGGCUUUCAAUAUGUUUUUGUACAUGAGUAUGUUCAUUAUAUUUUUGUGACAUAUUACAAAUAAACAAAUAGUAAAGAACUAAAAGCAUCAAAUAAUGUAUGCAUUAAAUUAUAUUUAAGAGAUCAUUGUAAUCAGAUAUAAAGUCAAAUGACUUCGUACGACAAAAAUGGAACACAUUUAAAAUUGACAGUUUGUUCGACAGAGAGAAAAUAAACAAUGCUGAAUACAACACAAAAGAAGAUGAAGAAGUUCGAGUGUACAUUCACAGUGGCUACAGUUUUCAAAUGGUUGCACGGAGAGAGAAAAUCGAAAUAUAGAUAUUCAGUAUACAUGAAGGCCAACUAUAAUGUUAGUAACCAACAUAGAGCAAAUACACUUCAUUAAGUUGAUAGCAUCAAUAAAUUAAUAAUAUCAAAUCCUAAUAAUCGGAAGAUAAAGAAUCUAAACCUCAAUUUAUAGCAAGAUGUCGCACGUCAAUAAAAAAUCAUCGAAAAAUUUGGAAAUCAUUAAUUUGUCUCUAUUUGUAUUUUGAAAAGAAUUUACAUGUGGAGAAAGAUCAGAGUCUAAAAAUGAAAAAGCCAAGAAAAAAGAUAAGAUUAUAAAGAAAAAUUAAAAUUAAUUGAAGAGAGGAGGAAAUAUUUGGCAAAUUUGAGUCUUACUUGAGUAAGAAGUCAUCAAUUUUCUUAGGACAGAAGGCUUUUUCAUACAAAUGACCCAAUCAUUUAUUCUAGUUGAAUUUUGGAGCUUGUCAGCAUAAACUAAAGUUAAAUAGAAUUAUGGAAAUUAUUUUUUGGAAACCCCCCUGACACACGCAAACAACAGAAAGUACAAAUGUUUGGACUCAGGGAUACCCUUUUUUUUUUUUUUUUGAGUCAGUAAGUUCAACAAUGGAUAUUAAGAAAUCCUAUUAUGCAAGUAUUGACACACAUUUUAUUAAAUAAAACUUUCAAUGGCUACCGACUAAAAUUAACUAAUUAAUGAAUGAAGGUUAAGGAAUAUAAUCAAAUUCCAGAUGCACAUUUUGUGCCAUGGUUGAGUUUUAUGAAUUAAUAAGUCAGUCAUUAUAGUAGCUAAAAAUGUAAGCAUCCUAUGUCUAAAUGUAUGUAUGUAUGUAUGUAUGUAUGUAUGUAUGACUAACUGUAAACAUGAUCAAACGCGAAAGUUUGGACUAUCGAAUUACCUCCAGCCAUUGUUGACAUGAAAACGUUUUGGAACCGAAAACGUAGCCGUUGUUCUACGAGUUUGAGAGCUUCCAAUGCCUAAUGCCUCCUUCCAGCCUCUGAAUGAUGGUGUAAUAUAAAUGAGUAGACGGAAUGGCAUUAGGGACCCAAACAAUGUUUCUUUUAUAAGCUCGGUCCAUCACCAAUUCUUUUCCAUAAUUGUAGGCAUUAUAAACUAUUCACAGCAACUUCCAAAUUGGUCAGACUUAUUAUUGGAAGCGCAAAUCAUUGAUUAAUGGAAGAUUUAGGCCACACACACGAUUUUCCUUUAUUAGAAAUGGAAAAUUUCCACAAACAAUACAUAUAGAAAGAGCGAAAGAGAGAUGAAUGCAUUGUCCAAAGGAAGUACAAGUUCAAAUAAUUUCAUUUUCUUACCUUUUGCCAAGCUUUAAGCUAUUUUCCACAUAAAUAGAGCUAGUAUCAACAUAAAGAACAAGAUGAGAAAAAAUCCAAAUGAGGAACCCAGCUGCAUCUUAUACGCAUUACUGCCUCAAAGCUUGGAUAUUCCUCCAAAGAUCAUUGCAAAGUUUAGCAGGGCCCAUCCCAUUGCCAUAAUGUAAUGACAAGAAAACAUAAAAUGUUACGUGCCAAUUUCUGAAUCUCAAACUAUCUCAGAUAAAUUUGACCUCUAUAUAUUGUUUUAAUAGUUAGGACAUGAGAAAAUCUGAAAAAGAAGUUACAGUCAUAAAAUAUAAGGGGUUUAGAAUGAAAUAAGUCCCAAUGUGAUCUCAAACAAAAUAAUCCACCAAGCUGUAAUUAAAUUUUUCAGGACGUCCACUGAGAAAAUAAUCAAGUGAGG